RNAcentral lists this ribosomal RNA (426 nucleotides) under Proshermacha sp. MYG469. Its description in RNAcentral is "partial 16S ribosomal RNA". It matches the Rfam family "Archaeal large subunit ribosomal RNA", at positions 1959 to 2666 of the family's 2987-position model. The record is from RNAcentral. Lineage: Eukaryota; Metazoa; Arthropoda; Arachnida; Araneae; Anamidae.
UAAAAGUGUUAAUUUUUAGUACACCCUGCUCAAUGAGUUUUAAAUAGCCGCAAAUUUUGUGCUAAGGUAGCAUAAUCAUUUGCCUAAUAAUUAUAGGAUAGUAUGAAGGGGUUAACAUGUAAUCUCCUCUAUCAAGAAAAUUUUUCUAAUUUAUGAAGUAAGUAAAAACUCUUACAAAAUUAGGGGGACGAUAAGACCCUGUCAAACUUAACUUUAAAGUUUAGCUGGGGCGGCAGAAAAUUAAACCUUUAAUAUUAACAAUCUAAUAAAACCUAAACAGUAGAUGGAACAAGUUACUGCAGGGAUAACAGCACAAUCACCCCUAAAAGACCUUAUAAAAGGGGUGGCUUGUGACCUCGAUGUUGAAUUAAAGAUCUUUUAGAGGCAGCCUUCUAAUAAGAAAGUCCGUUCGACUUUUAAUCCAUU